ACUUCGUACUGCUCUUUUUUAUUUCUCAUUGGUGGUUAGACCGACUAUGUUGUAUGGGGCGGAGUGUUGGCCGGUUAAGAUCUCUUACGUCCAAAAGAUGAAAGUUGCCGAGAUGAGAAUGUUGAGAUGGAUGUGUGGCCACACCAGGAGUGACAGGAUUAGGAAUGAGGAUAUUCGGGACAAGGUGGGAGUGGCCUCGGUGGAAGACAAGAUGCGAGAAGCGAGAUUGAGAUGGUUUGGGCAUGUGAAGAGGAGAGACACAGAUGCCUCAGUGCAGAGGUGUGAGAGGUUGGCCAUGGAUGGUUUCAGACGAGGUAGGGGUAGGCCGAAGAAGUAUUGGGGAGAGGUAAUUAGACACGACAUGGCGCAGUUACGGCUUACCGAGGACAUGACCUUAGAUAGGAGGGUUUGGAAGACCCAGAUUAGGGUAGAAGGCUAGUAGAUAGUCUCAUUAUCCUGUCUUAUUAGUAGUCGCAUUAUCGUAGUAUAAUUUCUUGUGCUCUGAUGUAUGCUAUUAUCUGUUAUUUCCUGUGCUUUGAUUAUUCUAUGCUAUCUGUGUCGCUUGCGUUAUUUCAUUUCCAUAUCGCUUUGAAUCUCUUAGCCUUAUCUGACCUCUUUUUAUGCUUUUGUUUAUUGAGUCGAGGGCCUUUCGGAAACAACCGUCCUACCUUGGUAGGAGUAAGGUCUGCGUACACUCUACCCUUCCCAGACCCCACGUUGUGGGAUUCCACUGGGUUGUUGUUGUUGUUGCUUAAUAUGCUCUUUGUUCACUUUCCAAUAUAUGGCACAUCAUGUUUAUUUAUCAAAUGGUAAAUUACUCGUUUCAACUCACUCAAUUUUGCUCCACUUUGAACUCUUGGUUUUAGUGCUUUGUUGAUGUAUGCUAGCAGAGAUGGUUGGGUGAAGUAGAUUUUAAGCUUUCAUUUGUCCGAUAAUUUAUUGUUUUUAGAAGCAGGCUUAGGGUAGCAUCCACAGAACUUAAAAUAAGGAUAUUGUGGUAAGUUUGGUUAUUUUUUGAAGUUAAAAUAAAUGUUUUAAAUAUAAAAAUGUACUAUAUCACCCUCCACAUCUUCACUUAUUUAUCUAAGUUUGCAGGUUAGAGAAUAAACUAAUUAUUUUCCUUCUUGGUUUGAAUAUAAAAAUGACUCCUUCUUGGUUUGAAUGAUUCCACCCAUUGUUUGUGGUUUAGUUCUCUCGUUAUUUAUCUUUGAUGCAGCACUCACCUACUUCGAUCUGUGACUUGACUGACACUAAGAUUAGUGAUACAAGCAUCUCUCCAGCUUUCACCCCAUUUGGUGUUUAUGUGUUCCCUUGCAUAGCAAAGACCUGCAAAACAGAAAACUGAGUUAGUAAAAAUUACCACCAUGUUCUCUUCCAAUAGGAUUUAAAGCAUUUAGCAGCAACCCAAAACAACAAAUGGAAUCUCGUAGUUGGAUGUAUACUAGAACAAAUGACGGUAGAGGGGGGAUGAGGCACGAAUUUAUGGACGGUGUCGUUGCCUUUGUUGAAUAUGCAAUGACACUUGAACCUUUUAUAAUCGAAGGCUUGGUUAGGUGUCCUUGUGAGAAAUGUGCAUGUUGGAAUUAUGAGACACCAGAGAUUGUUAGGCUUCAUCUCUAUACUCACGACUUUCAAUUAAAUUAUACAAUAUGGACUAGUCAUGGAGAAACGAACACUAGUCUGGGAGGAUUUCAAAACUUUGUUGUUGGUGAAAGUAGUAGGGCAGCGGAACCUGAUGUCCAAAAUUAUAGAAUGCACGACAUGAUUCAGGAUGCUUAUGGGAUGCAUUCCGAUUUUGAAUCCGGUAACAAUGUUGAACAAGAUCCUAAUGAGGAAGCUAGUCGUUUUUUUGAAUAGUUGAAAGAUGCUAGUCGGCCAUUGUGUGGCGGGAGUCCCCACUCUCAGUUGUCUAUUGCUGUUAGAUUAAUAAGUAUUAAAGCAGAUUGGAAUGUUCCUCAAAGGGCAAUGGAUGCUGUGAUUAGCCUUAUACGUGAAUUAGUUUACCCGAAUCUACAGAUACCUGUUAACUACUACAAGACAAAGAGAUUGGUGUCAAAGUUAGGACUCUCGUCCUACAGAAUUGAUUGUUGUAAAAAUGGAUGCAUGUUAUACUAUAAGGAUGACGUCGGUCUAGAAUCUUGUAAGUUUUGUGGAAAAGCUCGUUUUAAGCGAGCUCGUAGCGGGAAGAGAGUUGCUUUUAAGGCGAUGCUUUGCUUACCUCUUAUACCAAGGUUAAAGAGGUUGUACAGGGUUGUUUCACGGACUCGCCAACUUGGGGCAAGAUGGAACCAGACCAGAAGAGACAGAUCUGUUUAACCUUUAAGAGAAAGUGUUUCUGGCUCCCGGAACAUAAAGCUCAUGUCGCCCAAAACUUCGAGAAAAAAGUAGGGCAGCUGCUAAAGGGUGCAUUAGGAAGGGUUCGUGAAGACCAAGCGAAGCCUGAUUGGAUCCGGCCGGAGGCCUAUAACAAGCUAUUGUAGUACUGGGCAUCUGAUGAAUUUAAGAAACAAAGUGAAACAGGGAAGAAGGCCAGAAAUUCUACGAAGGGUGGCUCCCUACACACUAGUGGGGCUAAGAGCCAAGCGGCCAUGAGGAAGGAGCUGGAACUCAAAGAAAAGAGGAUAUUGCCUCAAGAUGAGGCAUUUAGAAUCACUCACGUGAAGAAGAAGAAAAACAGUCAAGAACCAGACAAAUGGGUUGAGGAACGGGCUAAGCAGUCCUACAUUCAAUUUCAACAAUCACGGGCUGAGUUAUGCCGUAGUCUGCCACCUGGCACAGAGCCUACAGAUGAACAGUUGAAUUUAUUAUGGAUUGCGACUGUUGGUGGCCCCACUAGGUUUGGCACAAGUUAUGGAAUGGAAAAUAGAGCAUUUCGUAAAUUCCAGUCGCCCCUGCAAGGCAUAGGUUCUUUUAAUGAUGCCGGGUCAUCGGAUAGAGCGAGUGUUAUGGCCAUGAAGCAGAAGAUUCUUGAGCUAUCUAUGCAGUUACAGGCCUUGAAGGCUAGGGAUAGGCGGAGGGACGAGUAGCUACAGGCUGCAGAGGAUAGGGAGAGACGGAGGGACGAGCAAUUUGCGGGUAAGAAAGCUCAAUUAGACUUAUUACUUUCUUCGAGGGGAAUUCCCCCUUGUUCUGAUGACGCUCGUAGCUCCAAGCGUCGAUUUCCCCAUUCUCAAUCUAGGGCACGACAUCGAGAGGUUGGUCAAGAACUGGGACUUGUAGAUGAGCCAAGUAGUGGUGAUGAUGAUGGGGAGCACGUGUCAAACAUAGAACGACAUGGUUGAAUUUUAUGUAUCUUACGCACUUAUAAAUUUUUUGGUGGAUUUGUAAAAAUGUGAAAAUGUUUGGUGGAUGUUUAGUUUGAUGUUGUAGACUAACUUAGUGUAGACUAGUAUAAGUAUAAUGUUUUGUGAAUGUUUGUAAAGGUUGAAGUAGUUUAAUGUUUUUUGUGAAUGUUGAAUUACAUUUUGAUUCAACUUUGAAGUAGUUUCGAGUUGAAUUUGAUGUAGUGCGGGUUGUAGCAUAUUAUUAUAUGUGCUUGUUGGCAGCUAUUUGAGCUGGUUUUAGCUAA
Molecule: RNA transcript, 3568 nt
Organism: Lycium barbarum (goji berry)
Lineage: Eukaryota; Viridiplantae; Streptophyta; Magnoliopsida; Solanales; Solanaceae
Exons: 5
Source: RefSeq, a predicted model, not a curated record